RNAcentral lists this ribosomal RNA (447 nucleotides) under uncultured bacterium. RNAcentral describes it as "bacterial SSU rRNA". It matches the Rfam family "Bacterial small subunit ribosomal RNA", at positions 355 to 825 of the family's 1533-position model. The record is from RNAcentral.
UGGGGAAUAUUGGACAAUGGGCGCAAGCCUGAUCCAGCCAUGCCGCGUGAGUGAUGAAGGCCUUAGGGUUGUAAAACUCUUUCGCCGAGGACGAUAAUGACGGUACUCGGAGAAGAAGCUCCGGCUAACUUCGUGCCAGCAGCCGCGGUAAUACGAAGGGGGCUAGCGUUGUUCGGACUUACUGGGCGUAAAGCGCGUGUAGGCGGGUCGUUAAGUUGGGGGUGAAAUCCCGAGGCUCAACCUCGGAACUGCCUCCAAAACUGGCGACCUGGAGCAAGAUAGAGGCGAGUGGAAUUCCGAGUGUAGAGGUGAAAUUCGUAGAUAUUCGGAGGAACACCAGUGGCGAAGGCGACUCGCUGGAUCUUUGCUGACGCUGAGACGCGAAAGCGUGGGGAGCAAACAGGAUUAGAUACCCGAGUAGUCCCUGAGCGGGCUGGCAAGGCGCAU